UCGAACGAUGAACCGCAUUUCGGGCGGGGAUUAGUGGCGAACGGGUGAGUAACACGUGGGCAAUCUGCCCUGCACUCUGGGACAAGCCCUGGAAACGGGGUCUAAUACCGGAUAUGACCGUCUGCCGCAUGGUGGAUGGUGUAAAGCUCCGGCGGUGCAGGAUGAGCCCGCGGCCUAUCAGCUUGUUGGUGAGGUAGUGGCUCACCAAGGCGACGACGGGUAGCCGGCCUGAGAGGGCGACCGGCCACACUGGGACUGAGACACGGCCCAGACUCCUACGGGAGGCAGCAGUGGGGAAUAUUGCACAAUGGGCGAAAGCCUGAUGCAGCGACGCCGCGUGAGGGAUGACGGCCUUCGGGUUGUAAACCUCUUUCAGCAGGGAAGAAGCGAAAGUGACGGUACCUGCAGAAGAAGCGCCGGCUAACUACGUGCCAGCAGCCGCGGUAAUACGUAGGGCGCAAGCGUUGUCCGGAAUUAUUGGGCGUAAAGAGCUCGUAGGCGGCUUGUCACGUCGGUUGUGAAAGCCCGGGGCUUAACCCCGGGUCUGCAGUCGAUACGGGCAGGCUAGAGUUCGGUAGGGGAGAUCGGAAUUCCUGGUGUAGCGGUGAAAUGCGCAGAUAUCAGGAGGAACACCGGUGGCGAAGGCGGAUCUCUGGGCCGAUACUGACGCUGAGGAGCGAAAGCGUGGGGA
RNAcentral lists this ribosomal RNA (691 nucleotides) under Streptomyces sp. 319(2010). Its description in RNAcentral is "bacterial SSU rRNA". It matches the Rfam family "Bacterial small subunit ribosomal RNA", at positions 62 to 767 of the family's 1533-position model. The record is from RNAcentral. Lineage: Bacteria; Bacillati; Actinomycetota; Actinomycetes; Kitasatosporales; Streptomycetaceae.